This 89-nucleotide small nucleolar RNA is filed under the name Sorex araneus (European shrew). RNAcentral's name for it is "Small Cajal body specific RNA 23 (ENSSARG00000020100.1)". Lineage: Eukaryota; Metazoa; Chordata; Mammalia; Eulipotyphla; Soricidae. The record is from RNAcentral.
GUCCUCCCUCCAUGAGCAAGAGAGACUGAACUGGUUUUGGGGGUACUCUGCUUGAGUGGACAUCAGAGACCACGGUUUUCAGUACAACA